UACGUAGGGAGCAAGCGUUGUCCGGAAUCAUUGGGCGUAAAGCGCGCGUAGGUGGCUUCAUAAGUCCGUUGUGAAAGUCAAAGGCUCAACCUUUGAAAGCCGAUGGAUACUGUGGAGCUAGAGUACGGAAGAGGCGAGUGGAAUUCCUGGUGUAGCGGUGGAAUGCGCAGAUAUCAGGAGGAACACCAAUAGCGAAGGCAGCUCGCUGGGACGUUACUGACACUGAGGAGCGAAAGCGUGGGUAGCAAACAGG
Molecule: ribosomal RNA, 253 nt
Filed under: uncultured bacterium
Lineage: Bacteria
Description: partial 16S ribosomal RNA
Rfam family: Bacterial small subunit ribosomal RNA
Source: RNAcentral